AUGUUUUCCCCAUCGAGGGGAAGGAAUAUCUUAAAGAACCUGCAGAAGAUUCCACAAAAUAUUAAACUACUUCACCAGUGACGACUAUAGCACACAAUGGGUAUUCAUGCCGUGUGCCUUGCUGUGGUAUCUGAGCACCCUUCAUACUUGCAGGGAAAAAGGUCAGUGAGGUAAUCUUGUUUUAUUGGACCAACCUCUGUUGGUGGAAGAUACAAGCUUUGAAGCUUCGCAGAGUACACAAACCCCAAAUCUGCAUGUGAAAGUGGCACCUGUGCAGCACUUUCAGUUGAAUCAGAAGCCUAACGAUCUGACCAGGACAAAUGCCAUGUGCAUGUUCAAAUAAUGAUGUGUGCAAAAUCAUAAGCACAGAUUUAGAGUGUUCAGAAAUAUGCCACUUAAACUGUGUAACCCACUCAGAGCAGUACUCUCUCUCUGUGUAAUGGUGGUUGGGCCACAGCUACAGGUUGAUGAGUCUUCUACCUUCUUAGCUAACAGAUCUGGGUCUGCUAGCUCAGAUAGCAGAAGCUCAUUCUUUAGGUGCAGAGAUGCCAAGUUCAGUCCCUGUUGCUGAUCACCCACUCGGGAGUACAGGUUACAAGUGCAAAACAAAAACUGUUAUGGAAAUUACAAUGUGUAUGUGAUUCUAAGAGCUGGUAAAGGGUUAACUAUUCUGUAACAGCAACACACUGCUUUCAUAGGAUUUACCCAAAACAGGUUGUGUCAAGUGUCUAAUAAAAGCUUGUGUCUCACUAAUCCUCAUAAUCAUUGCAAGAAGUAUGUACUGAUAUUUAAGGAGUUGUAUAUAUGCCUUGAAAAUACAUUUUAAAGUCUGUAUCCUACUCGGAAUUGACAAAAAGGUUGUGCCAGACAAAGCAAUGUAUGUUCACUUGGCUGCCUAAGUUCAUAUGUAGAUGAAGCAUUGUAAAUCAGCACAAUGGAAGCCCAUUUUGUAUGCAGUAUCAACAUGAGUAUGUGAAAACAACCUGAAGCCAGCACACCAGGAAAGAAACCACAGGGAUCAUCCUGACUCUGGGACAAACCAAGGAGAAGCAAAAGGACACAUCUUUAUCCUUCACUGAGGAAGCAAAAAGGACAGUGCUUUUUGCAUUCAUGAAAGUUGGAUCCCAGCCAUGUCGGUUGGUGAUGCUGGGAGAUUGCUUUAGGUGAGAAUUACUUUAGACAAGGUUUAUAGCCUUCAUAAGUUGCGUUUAGAGUUUAAGAAGUAUGUUACAUAUUGUGUUUAAUGUAAUAAUUUCUGUUUCCAUCAUUAUCCUUAUUCACUAUUUCUUAAUUCUUAGCCUUUGAUGAUAAACUUAAUUGUUUUCACUAUAAAUGUAUCUCAGUGCUGUGAUGUUAUAAAGGACCUGAUCCUGAGUUGUACCUGUCAUGCUGUGUGUAUAUUGUUCCCUUUGGGACAGCAAACCUGGAAAUUUCUGUGAGUGUCCAGUGACAGGGCUGGAUACUACAAGGGACAAUUUCAGAGGGGUUCGGGGCUGGGUACACCUAUUGUUACCAGCAAGGCCAAGUAAGGGCUGGCAGAACUGUGAGGAAUUAGGUGGCUAACAGACUGAUGUGCUAGGGAGCUGAUAUCCUGCAAAGCACAAACAUGUCUCUUGCUGAGGCAGUGGGAUAACAUUGUAUGUAACAGGGGACACCAUUUUAAAACUUGCUAAGCAGGUCCUGGAGAUAUCACCAGAUGAGUUGAUAUCUGGGUAGUCAGAGAAGCUGUCAGUCUGAUGUGAGAGGGAUUGCUUUCAAGGGAUUAAAGCUAUUGACUUUUCUUUUUAACUCUGUAAUGUGGCUGAGAAUGCCCCAUCUAUUUUAGCUUAUGAGAGGUAUCUAGAAGUGUCUAGAAAUGUUAAAUGAACAAAUUCUUUAGUUUAAAUUACAUUCUUUUUUUAAUAAAUCUUGUUUUUGUUAAGA
Molecule: long non-coding RNA, 1923 nt
Organism: Dermochelys coriacea (leatherback sea turtle)
Lineage: Eukaryota; Metazoa; Chordata; Testudines; Dermochelyidae
Exons: 2
Source: RefSeq, a predicted model, not a curated record